RNAcentral lists this long non-coding RNA (1407 nucleotides) under Anolis carolinensis (green anole). Its description in RNAcentral is "lncRNA (ENSACAG00000041863.1)". Lineage: Eukaryota; Metazoa; Chordata; Lepidosauria; Squamata; Anolidae. The record is from RNAcentral.
AUACUCUUGACAAUGAAGGGAUCCACCUAUGGAUAUUUAUGAAUUAAUAAUAUCAUACUCGGACAAUGAAGGAUUGCCUAUAUUACGAAUCAUAAUCAUAAUACAUCAUAUUCAUUCAUAAAGGAUUGCUUAUGAUAUUAUGAAUGAUAAUAAUAAUAAUAAUAAUAUCACACUCAGACAUGAGGGAUUGCUUAUAUUAUGAAUAAUAAUCAUAAUCCAUCAUAUUCAUUCAUGAAGAAUUGCUUAUGAUAUUAUGAAAUGAUAAUAAUGAUAAUGAUAAUAAUAAUAUCAUAUUCUGACAUGAGGGAUCACCUAUAGUAUUAUGAAUAAUAUCAUAGUUUGAUAUAUAUUAUGAAUGAUAAUAAUUAUUAUAAUUUAUUACCUGCCUCUCCACAGUACAGCAAGGCUCAAACAGAAAGUUAUAACAAAACACUAUUAAAUACAUAUGACAAAUAUACAUAGGUAAAAUACAAGAGUUUGAAGAGAUUCAAACUCAUUUUUAUCCAAUAUUGAAAACUAUUGCUCCAUGUCGAGUCUAAAAAUUUGGAUUUUCAUGGAAAUUUUCAUUCUGGGGAGCCUUGCUGAGACUCGAACCCUGAACUUCAAAGAUUCCUGGGAUUAAAGACACUUGUUUCCUAUGGCAGGUCCCUUCCGCGGCUGCAGCUCCGACCGAAGCCGAAGCCCGGAUAUUUUGGCUGGGAUUGAUUAUCUGCCCCGUCAUAUGGACCCUCUUCUUCUUCAGCACUUUGUUCUCCUUGAAACUCAAAUGGCUGGUAAGGAUGGGAGUUUGCAUUUCCUAGGGAGUUUGUCCACACUGCACAACUGCAGCACUUUGAUUCCAUGUUAAAGGUUGCGGCAACCCUGGGAUUUUUUAAUUUGUUCGCUCAGUAUUUUCAGCCACUUUUCCGAGAUGUUUAUUUCAAGGAUUGGCUAGAAUUGAGACUGAAAACAAGUCCUUUCUUUGGCAGGCGCUGGUCACGGCCGGCAUUUGUCUCCAAGCGGCAAACCUCUAUGGCUACAUCCACUGCAAACUCGGAGGGUCCCAAGCCAUGCACAGAAACGUCACUGCAAGAUUCCCGGGGCAAAAGAUGUUCCAGAGGGAAAUGCCGGAGGAAUUCCAGAAAACGGUCCUGAAAGGGAUGGGGACCCGGAAUCAUUAAAAGGAGACCAAAAAAAGGGAUGAUGGGUAAGAUGCAUCUGGAUAUUAAUAAUAUAAAUAAUAAUAAUAUGAAUAAUACUAAUAUCAAUAUUUAUAACAUGUAUACUAAUAUUAAUACUACUAUUACUACUACAAAUAAGACUAACUAAAUAACAUUACCACUAAUAUUAAUAAUAUACAAAUAAUAGUUUGGACAUUUGAGCUCCUUUGAGACUUAUUGAUAUUUGUACAAAUAUAAAAUAAGAAUU